This 170-nucleotide unclassified non-coding RNA is filed under the name uncultured Clavulinopsis. RNAcentral describes it as "sequence contains ITS1". Lineage: Eukaryota; Fungi; Basidiomycota; Agaricomycetes; Agaricales; Clavariaceae. The record is from RNAcentral.
UUGAAUCCAAAGGAUGUUGCUGGUGCUUGCGAAAGUACAUGUGCACUCCGACUUUCAUAUCCACCUGUGCACUCAUUGUAGGCUUGGAUUAACUUCCAAGUCUAUGCUUUCAUAUACACACUAUAAAAUCUAUGGAAUGUACUGGGCUUUCAUUGCCUACAAAAUUAAUA